RNAcentral lists this long non-coding RNA (423 nucleotides) under Papio anubis (olive baboon). Its description in RNAcentral is "lncRNA (ENSPANG00000036776.2)". The record is from RNAcentral. Lineage: Eukaryota; Metazoa; Chordata; Mammalia; Primates; Cercopithecidae.
GCCCCAGGGGAACGAAUGUGUGGAAGCUGCAGCGGAGCCUUCUGCUCAAGAGUAAAGGACCCGUCUGAAACCUACAAGAACAGGAUGGAAUGGCUGGCGGAAGACACGUCUGAUGACAUCGAAUGUUUUGCAGAAGAGCCAUGUGACCGGAUCCCCAGUUUGGCAGAGGAGACAUGUGAGAGGACGGAAGGUUUUGGCCGAAAAGACAUCUGGCAGGGAACAGAGAGAACAGGUGUGGCAGAGAGAACGUCUGAGAAGCUUGCACGAUUCGCAGAAGGAGCAUCGGUAGAAGAUUGCCUGUUUGCCCAAAGGAACGUCAAGUUCCAAAGUGAGAAAGAAGAAAGAAAGGCUGUGGAUAGGGAGCCAGCCAGGUUUCCUGCAGAGAUUCACAGGAAGCUUUUAAGCAGGGAAGUCAGAAGAUGA